UGUUUCUAUGGGGACGCUGUUGUCAUGACGACAGCCACGCACACGCUCACUUCGCUAUGUUGUUUUUUUUUGGGGGGGAGUUCUUUAAGCGAACAGUUUAAACACUACACUUUUUCUACCUCCUUUUGAAAGGACACCGCAAAUAGGUUAGGGUCAUGUCUAACAGAAAAGCUUCCGCAGAGUCAGAAAUGACGGCCGCUGGCAGUGCGAGGAAAUUCCGAAUGAAACCAGCCACGUUACCCCUGACUAGUGCCGCGGAGCUUCCAGAGAACACCAAUUGCCUGGCGUGUUCCGAUGACGGCACAUUCCUCACCCUGGGUCACUCCGGAGGCUUCUCCGUGUGGUCUGUGGGUACUCUGAGAUGUGAGGCCGAGUGGUCUCAGGACAAACUGGAGAUUACUUCCAUUCUCAUGACCCCCACCGGUGAAACUGCCUAUUUGCUGGGCACCAUUGACGAUAUGGGUGUUGCUAGAGUCUUUGUGUAUAACUUAGAAGGCAUUUAUCCUUUCAGUGUUAUUAACAUGCUGGAUGACAUUAACAAGAGGAGCGUUUGCAUUUACCUUGAACUAUCUAAAGGUGGUGAACACGGAGCUAUAAUAAUGAGGUGCAAUAGUGAAAUUUGGCUUGAAAUCUAUUACUUUCCUAUACAGGACUGGCUGAGAGAGUUGAAGGAUCCCAAAAUUUCUGCAAAUAUGAAAUGGUCUCCUGCUGUUCGUGUGAAUAGAGUUAAUCCAUCAACGGCAAUCACCACAGAACCCCCCACCAUUUUGUCUCACUUCUUAGUUUUGGACGAAACAACCGAGCCACCAAGACGUUGCACUCCACACUUUCUUCUGUGCUGUGGCCGCUCUGAUGGAAAGAAUAAAGUAAAGCCCGGAUCCCCGCUUGCCCUCUGUUUUUGGUGGAACGGAAGUUACAAUCUUCUCUACCUGCUGCUGUCCAAAACACCAAAGGCCAAACAAGAUCCAGAACCGCCACCGUUGGUGCUGUGGCCCAACGCUGCUGAAAUUGUCUGCUCCACAGUCAGUAUGUGCACUCGUUUCAUUGCGCUGGGCCUGAGCAACGAUCUGCUGUGUGUUUGGGACAGGCUGUCUGGCUCUCCGUUGUCAAUCUCUGGAGUAGCAACAGACAGUUCCUUCCUCAGGCUGCACUUUGUGGAUUACUGGGCUGCGUGCACCGAUGAUACUCAGAUUUUAAUCGCAGGUGAAAUACACCUCGUGACGCUGUGUGAGAGCGGCGCUAUUCACGUCGUAAGCACGGGCCGGGGAACAGCAACCAGCACUUCUCAGCUCUCACCAAGGCCAAAAGACAGUGGUGACCUCCCGACUGUUGCUGAAUCAGUACCAUUCCUGCAGGGCUUGUCACUGGUGGUGCAUCGAAAUGGGAAAAUGUUUCUACAAGAUGUCGUCAACAGAGCCACGGAGUGCGUCUUGAGUUUGCCCGCUCAUUAUUUGCUGACCACCCCCUGCAAUCCCAUUUAUGCUCUGAAUGUCAAGCACCGCAUUCUCUUCAUACGAGCUGACCAGGAGCCCACUCCCGGCACUUCUUCCUUGGACGAUCCGGGUCAGAGUCGACUUCUCAUAAUGCGUUUUGACGAGCAUGACGCCAUUAAGCCAUAUGUUGUUUUAAAUCCCGAGUCUCCAUGGCAACAAAAACCAAGCUUAGUUACUGGAGAGGAAGCCUGCAACCUGUAUCUCCAGCAACGGGGUCUGUCAAUGGACGAAAGGCACAAGCUAUAACGCAGACUUGGAAACGACUGCGUUGUGCCACUACCAUGUAAAGCCGUCAAAGACAGCAAAAUAUUUUGAUUUUACUCAGAGGACUGUCACGGGGAGUGCAGAAACCGAUCCCACCUGUCGACGGGCAGGAGGGGGUGUACACCUUGAACUGCUUGCCAGCCAAUCGCAGGGCACAUGGAGACAAACAGCCAUACUCACAAUCACACCUAGGGGGAAUUUAGAGUGUCCAAUUAAUAUUGCAUGGAAGGAAACCGGAGUGCCCGGGGAAAACCCACGCAGGCACGGGGAGAACAUGAAAACUUCACACAGGUGGGGCCGGGAUCGAACCCGGGUCCUCAGAACUGUGAGGCCAACACUUUACUUUUGGUGGCGUGCUGAACAACUGGUUAGUAAAGCUGUCUCACAGUUAUUAGAACACGGGUUCAUAUCCAGCUUCGCCUGUUUAGAAUUUGCAUGUUCUCCCUGUGUGUGUUUUCUACUGGUACUAUGGUUUUCUCCUAUAUUCCAAAAACAUACAUGGUUGGUUGAUUUGAAGAUUCUAAAUUGUCCAUAGCUAUCAAUGGGAGUGUGAAUGGGUGUUUGUCUACAUGUGGCCUCCGAUUGGCUGGCUAGCUUGUUUUUUUUUCACUUCAUUUCAUAUGCGGUAUAUCGGAAGCUCACCCGUAAUACAAAUUUCAGCUCAAAGCAAAUAAUGAUAAUAAUAAUGACAAUGAUAACAAAUAAAAAAGGGCCUGAUCUGUCAUUGAGAGGGUAAUGAAAAGUGAACAGGUUGAAAAGAUUUUUCUGUCACCUAUGGCAACACUGUGGUGGUUGUGCUGGUCAUUUCCGGUAAAAAUUUCAUCCUUUUAUGUCUGUUAAAUUAAACAGAUGAGUCAAACCCUUCUUUUUGGGUUGCAGUUUUGAUUACUAAUUACUAUUAACCUCAACUUUAAAUAAAAAAAAUCUUUCUACAAGUGAAAGUUGGUAUAAUUGACCCCUCCGUGGAUAUUGCGCAAUCCGCAUCACUGACCAAUCAGAGGCCAGAGAUCUGCAUAAACCAAAGCCCGUUUUUGCUCCCGCCAUUUUCUCAGACAACAUUGCAUGGUCCAGUAUAGGGUUAGUUAGCUUUUUAUCGCGUAUUUGGGUUAUUUAACAAAAAAUAUGGUUAAGAGGUGUAGUCACGGUCUUUGUAAUAGUGACGACAGGUAUCCUGAAAGGCUAGUUGGUGGAGUUCGAUUCGUACCCUUUCCAAAACCGAAGACCCAGUACGAAAAAUGCCUUCGAUGGAUCAAACUUUGUGGAAGACCGCAUCAUCAACUAAAUCCAUCUAAUAUCAACCGGAACACAUAUGUUUGCACGAAAGUAAGCCCUAUAUUUGAUUUUCAAUACAUGUCUCAUAUAAAUGAAUUAGCAGUUCUUCGGUUGCAUAACAUAGCUACGUGUGAAUGAUUGACACACUUGAUCUGUGUUGAGCGAUAUUUAGCAAUGAUCGGACUGCACAAACGUAUUGAUUUCUUGCUGGCUCGCGGCCAGAAGCUUAACCAGACUGUGUUUGCAUGAAGAUAUGCCCUAAAUUUUAUAUUUAUUCCACGUCUCGUAUAAAUGAAUGAGACGUUCUCCGCUAGCAUAACAUUGCUACGUGUGAAUGAUUGAAUGAAAUCAGAAGCAUGGCGUCUCUCUCAGUUAAGAAUGUAUUGUAUUUAGAAUCUAUAAUAUAUCGUUGAUUUGAAUGAAAUGAGAAGCAUGGAGUCUGUCUCAGUUCAGAAUGUAUUGUAUUGUAUUUGCCAUUUUUACUGUUUGUCUUACGUCAGCGCACGUAGCGUGACGUCACUUCAGGAGGCAUGGUUAAGUGCCCUGUACGGAGGGGUCAAUUGUGUGUACAUCAUGAUAACCUAUGGAUUUCCCUUGCAAAAAAACCCCAACAUUUUCCCAUAUAGGAAUAUUUCGUAAAAGCUCCCUGAAUUUGACUACCUCCUCAUAAUUUGUGCAAUAAAUGAACUCACCUUUAUAUGUAUGAUGUGUAAUAUCUUCUGCGAUCUAUGGUUAUUGGGAUAUCAUUUUAUUUUCUGCAAAUGUGAUCAUCCUCCACUUCUAAUUUGGGAUUCGGCCCGUCUCUGUGCAUUUUAAUGAGGGGAAAACAUGGCAUUUGUCAUUUGGCCUUUGACUCGGCACUGAUAAAAAGCAGCAAUCCCCUUUAGGGGCCAUUCGAGCUGGGUCUCUGAGUCAGCCCAUCAUGGAGAGGAUCCGUUUGUGUAUACUAAGUACUGCAGAGCUCUUGCUCAGAAGUUUGCAAUGUCUUUGAACCCGAAAGGGACACCUGAGUCACAAUGAACACUUUUAAUGAACAAUACCACAACAUACACUUUGCCAGGCAAACAAGAUCCUUUUUAACUAGCUCAUGACAGAAAUGUGGUCAACUAUUCAUUUCUAUGAUGUCCUUUGUAGCGCGCUCAGUGAAUAAUUGAACAUUCAAAACACAGUGCAUGACAUUUAUUGUAAAGUAUCAAACCUUUUUUCCCCCUCGUUUAGAGUUUUAAAAAGCCCACACACCUCUUUUCAAAGGAGACCAAACUAAUUCAUUUCAAAACUUUCACUAUUGUUGUUGUGACCAACAUAACCAAUAUUUUAGCGAGGGAAAGUAAAAAGAAACAACUGAGAUAAUGUGGUUGCCUCUUAUAACGUGGUUGUGUUCAGAAUUGACCAAUCAAAAUCAAACUCAUGUUGAAUAGGACUCGGGAAACACUUGCCAUCACUUCAAGUGCCUUUGAUUCAUCCCGAAUAAAGUUAGCUUUUCUAGUAGGCUUUCCCUGUCAUUUUUGUAGUCACAUCCGAUAACACAACCCUUGGUGUGCAAAGCACUUCCACUCUUUGAUUGAUGGUCUCAGUUAGGAGAAGAGUAAAACCUUUAAGGAUUUAAAUAUGCGAGUUAAUACAGUGGCAGUCAUUAUCAAGUGGAGAAAAUAUGAACCAAUUGUCAGAUUACCAAGAACUGGGCAUCCCUCCAAAAUAUAUCUACCAUCUUCUUCAUAUGUCUGGGCUGUGGCUUAUCUUACAAAGAGGGGAAAAAACUCACUUCUCCUAAACGCAUGCGUGAAAAUGUAUUAAGGACCAAUGAAACCAGGGUGUAAUGUUUUAGCCAUCAUUCCAACAGGUAUGUUUUGCGCAAGCACAUUACUCCUCAUCACUGAAAAAAUCCACUACACUGCAUCAUUACUGUAAAGCAUGGUGGUGGCAGCACCAGGCUAUGGGGCUGUUUUUCUUCUCCUGCAACUCUGCUCUUAAACAAGGGAAGGAGAACUAUGAAUGCUUCCAAAUAGGAGUCAGUUUUGGCACAAAACCUGAUGUAUCAAAAAAAAAUGGCAUGAUUGAGGGACGCUUUAUAUACAGAAACAAUGCAAAUGUAUUGGCACUGCUGAAAAUGGCAUUUUUGUCUAUUAGUCAAGAACGUAGUUCACCUCAAAGGUGUUUGAUGGGCUUCUUCCACAUUGAACUUAACCAAUUAAGCAAUUAUAGACUUCUAUUUGUGUUGUACAAUUGUUUGCACAUCGUACAUCGAUGUGGACCUCUGUGCGGAAGCAUUAGUCCUAUGACCCAAUUAUGCCAUUUGUAUUCUCCUC
Molecule: RNA transcript, 5335 nt
Organism: Syngnathoides biaculeatus (alligator pipefish)
Lineage: Eukaryota; Metazoa; Chordata; Actinopteri; Syngnathiformes; Syngnathidae
Gene: wdr93
Gene name: WD repeat domain 93
Exons: 17
Source: RefSeq, a predicted model, not a curated record